GUUCAAAAACAUUUUAAUAUCAGUGUUUGUAGCGUCUUAAAGCACUGUAAUGACACAGAUUGUCCACCAGCUCUUCCUGAGGUAAAGUGUGUGUAGUAGAGGAGGAGGAAGAACACUAAACUGUGCAGGACAGGGGGUUCUCCAGGACCAGGGCUGUGGAAGAGAAAACACCAGUUGAUGUGGAUACAUGAAUGCAUUCAUCCUUCGCCACUCCGAGAGCAUCUCUAUAGCAACGUCUGCCCAUGAUGGAGUGUCUGUUAUCUCACCAGCCAAUCAAAACGAGCGAUACACAUGUGCAGAGACAAACACACCCCGGUGGUUAUUAUUCCUCCCGGUCAAUGAGGUGUCAGAAUAUGGAAAUGGCACCGAAAGAUAUGUGUCCGGACCAGAAAAAUGUCAACAGAGGCCUGGACUGAAGAACAUAACUAGAUAUGCUCCGUGUUUUUCUGAGGCUCCCAGACUCCUGCUCAGAUAUCAGAAAAGACUUCUGAGAUGACGGGAGAUUGACAGCUGAUUAGUGUAGUGGACAGACAUGGGAAAGGGCUUUCUGAGGUUUCUUGGAAACAUAUAUACACACACACACACACACACACACACACACACACAC
This is a long non-coding RNA of Ictalurus punctatus (channel catfish), 607 nucleotides long. The record is from Ensembl. NCBI's taxonomy places the organism in Eukaryota, Metazoa, Chordata, Actinopteri, Siluriformes, Ictaluridae.